UACGAGGGGGGCAAGCGUUGUUCGGAAUUAUUGGGCGUAAAGGGUGCGUAGGCGGUCUGAUAAGUCAUCUGUGAAAUCUAUGGGCUCAACCCAUAGUCUGCAGGCGAAACUGUCGGGCUUGAGUAUGGGAGAGGUGAGUGGAAUUUCCGGUGUAGCGGUGAAAUGCGUAGAUAUCGGAAGGAACACCAGUGGCGAAGGCGGCUCACUGGCCCGAUACUGACGCUGAGGCACGAAAGCGUGGGGAGCAAACAGG
RNAcentral lists this ribosomal RNA (253 nucleotides) under uncultured bacterium. RNAcentral's name for it is "partial 16S ribosomal RNA". It matches the Rfam family "Bacterial small subunit ribosomal RNA", at positions 524 to 776 of the family's 1533-position model. The record is from RNAcentral.